This is an RNA transcript of Syzygium oleosum, 2946 nucleotides long. It is a transcript of the gene named ABC transporter F family member 4, with no coding region annotated. NCBI's taxonomy places the organism in Eukaryota, Viridiplantae, Streptophyta, Magnoliopsida, Myrtales, Myrtaceae. The record is from RefSeq and is a predicted model, not a curated record. The transcript is spliced from 4 exons.
UUUCGGGCAGAUAACCGGCGAAUCAGCGAAGAAGAAGAAGAAACCCUAGUCGUCUCAGCUGAGGAGGAGCUCGCGAGAGCAGGACCGACCCUCCGCCGAUUGCUCCACGUCGCGCUCGCUCUCUCCUUCUUCGCUCGCUCUCGAGAUCCUCGUCCUUCUUCGGGCUCCGCCGUUUCCAAUUUCGGGUUUAGACAACCUUCUUUUUCCCUUUUAAAAGUGGAGCAACUGCUGCCAUGGGGAAGAAGAAAUCCGAGGAAUCUGCAUCGGUCGCGAAGGUCAAGGCAGGCAGCAAGGAAGGAGCAAAAGAUGGCAAGAGAGAGAAGCUAUCGGUAUCAGCCAUGCUAGCCACCAUGGACCAAAAGCCAGAAAAGCCGAAGAAGGGAUCGUCGUCUUCUUUGAGCAGUAAUGCUGGUAAAUCUAAGGCAAAAACGGCUUCAAAGCUCCCAUCUUAUACAGAUGGACUUGACCUUCCUCCUUCUGAUGAGGAAGAAGAAUAUGCGUCUGAUGAGGAAAGCAAACGACUCAGCCGGCAGCAGAGGUCCGAAGUAAAGGCCCUUGAAACAUCAGUAAGCGAGAAAGAGAUGAAGAAGAGAGAAAAGAAGGACACGCUUGCUGCGUAUGCUGUAGAACAAGCUAAACAGGAAGCUCUGAAGGAUGACCACGAUGCCUUCACUGUUGUUAUCGGUAGUCGAGCUUCUGUUCUUGAUGGCGAAGAGGAAGCAGAUGCUAAUGUGAAGGAUGUUACUAUUGACAACUUCUCCGUCUCGGCCAGAGGGAAAGAACUUCUAAAGAACACAUCAGUGAAGAUAUCUCACGGGAAGAGAUAUGGUCUGGUUGGACCAAAUGGUAUGGGCAAAUCUACAUUGUUAAAGCUGCUUGCUUGGAGGAAGAUACCAGUCCCUAAGAAUAUUGAUGUUCUUUUGGUGGAACAAGAGGUAACUGGUGAUAAUAGGUCCGCUUUGGAAGCAGUUGUAUCUGCCAAUGAAGAGCUGGUCAAGGUUAGACAAGAGGUAGCCAUAUUACAAAACGUAUCUUCUGUCGAUGGUGCUGAUGGAGAAGGUGAAGACAGUAAUGAAGAUGAUGCUGGGGAGAAACUGGCCGAGUUGUAUGAGAAAUUGCAGAUUUUGGGGUCAGAUGCUGCUGAGGCUCAGGCGUCGAAAAUUCUAGCUGGGUUGGGAUUUAGCAAAGACAUGCAAGCUCGUCCGACCAAAUCGUUCAGUGGUGGUUGGAGAAUGAGAAUAUCGCUGGCUAGAGCCCUUUUUGUGCAACCAACUCUUCUGUUACUGGAUGAACCCACCAACCAUCUUGACCUUAGGGCUGUUCUAUGGUUAGAGGAAUACUUGUGCAGGUGGAAGAAGACUCUUGUUGUUGUCUCACAUGAUCGAGAUUUUCUCAACACUGUGUGCACUGAGAUCAUUCAUCUUCAUGACCUGAAGCUCCACUUCUAUCGUGGCAACUUUUAUGAUUUCGAAAGUGGGUAUGAGCAGCGGCGGAAAGAAAUGAACAAGAAAUUUGAGAUUUAUGAGAAGCAGGUCAAAGCUGCCAGGAGGUCUGGAAACCGUGCUCAGCAGGAAAAAGUUAAAGAUCGAGCAAAGUUCGCUGCUGCCAAGGAAGCAUCAAAGAAUAAGGCAAAGGGCAAGGUUGAUGAAGAUGAACCAUUAGCAGAGGCGCCGAAGAAAUGGAGGGAUUACAGUGUGGAAUUUCACUUCCCAGAACCUACUGAGCUUACCCCACCGCUCUUGCAGCUAAUUGAGGUCAGCUUCAGCUAUCCAGGUCGAGAUGAUUUUAGGCUCUCGAACGUCGAUGUAGGUAUUGAUAUGGGGACUCGUGUUGCUAUUGUUGGGCCGAAUGGAGCUGGGAAAUCUACUUUACUGAAUCUCCUUGCUGCGGAUUUGGUUCCAACUGAGGGUGAAGUACGGAGGAGUCAGAAGUUGAGAAUUGGCAGGUACUCGCAGCACUUUGUGGACCUACUGACUAUGGAAGAAACACCGGUUCAGUAUCUUCUCCGUCUUCAUCCAGAUCAGGAGGGUCUUAGCAAGCAGGAGGCUGUCCGAGCAAAGCUUGGAAAGUUUGGUCUUCCCAGUCACAAUCACCUCACUCCUAUUGCAAAACUAUCUGGAGGUCAGAAAUCUCGUGUGGUCUUCACUUCGAUAUCCAUGUCAAAGCCACACAUAUUGCUGCUGGACGAGCCCACAAAUCAUUUAGAUAUGCAAAGUAUUGACGCUCUGGCUGAUGCACUGGACGAGUUUACUGGUGGAGUCGUCCUCGUGAGUCAUGACUCCAGGCUUAUAUCACGUGUUUGUGAUGAUGAAGAGCGAAGUGAAAUUUGGGUGGUAGAAGACGGAACCGUUAAAUUUUUCCCAGGAACGUUCGACGAGUACAAGGAGGAACUUCAAAGAGAAAUCAAAGCUGAGGUUGAUGAGUGACAUGCCAUAUAAAGUGGCCUAGUCCUCGCAGGACCCUAUCUGCAUUUCUGGGAGAAGUUAAGAAACAUUACCGCAGUAAUAGCCAUGAGAGAGGCAGGAAAUCCUGGAAUGUCCAAUGAGGAUGUGUGCAUUCUAUUCACCAGUCUUUGACAUGCUCUGCUUUUACUUGUAUAUGAUGCUGCCAAAGAUUUUGUCCCUCGUCACCUCUCAGGGUAUGAAACCUCAUCUGCCAUUGCCGACACCCGACUUGGAAGGGCCAAAAGGGUCAUACCCUGAGCAUCUCCUCGAUGAAGGGAGAGGUUUAUUUGUGAGGUGGCUAGGUGACAGAAAUCUUGGGUUUCUGUUGUGGAAUAUUUGUUUCUUUUGAUGUUGGACCGGUUUUGCAUGGUUUCGUUUUCAGAGCACGACAGAUUUCUGUCGCAAGUUAUCUGUACAUCAUAUAUGAGAGAGAUAGACGCAUAAAUAUUAUUUUUCCAUUCAGCUGCACAUAGAUGGUCAGCUUAUUGGAAGCUACAUUGUA